Molecule: long non-coding RNA, 759 nt
Filed under: Linum usitatissimum (flax)
Lineage: Eukaryota; Viridiplantae; Streptophyta; Magnoliopsida; Malpighiales; Linaceae
Description: long non-coding RNA (LUSI_LNC002475)
Source: RNAcentral
CGAUUUUAUCUCUUGCUGCUUGAGAAAAGAGGCAGCAAGUAGGUGGACCGCAGCGGAGCUGCUCCAGCACCCGUUUAUAUUGCAGCGCGGCGCCGGCGCCGACGAGUAGCCUGAUUUCCCGCAUCAAAAUGUAGAACUUUACCUUUACAAAAAAAAAAAAAAUUAUUAAGAGUUUUAUUGUUAGUUGCGAGAAAGAUUCUUCAAUUACAGAUUAAUAUUUUUCUAGCUCAUGAUAUUGGGGCUGUGUAUUUUGAAUCAUAAGACUUUCUGCAAAUGAAAUGAAGAAGUUAAGUUACAGUCAACACAUAGCUAUAACAAGAUGCAACCUUUAUUUCCCGAUCAUCCAUUUCCAUAAAAGGAUGUUGCAAUUAAUUUGGAACACAAACCAAUUUGUUAGAGAUAGCGACAGAUUUGAGAUACGAAGAUUAACAAAAUUCAAGAACAACAAGGUGUAACAUGGUUCACUUACGGAUUAAUUUUGUUGGUUGAAUCUACGAGAGAGAAGAAAGUGAUUUGUAUUGCGAUGAGAGGAGGCGUAAAGGAGAUUUGUGUUACAAUGAGAGGAGACGAUGAGUGCAGAAAGAGAUUUAUAUUAUGAUGAGAGAAGGUGCAAAAAAAUAUCUGUAUUACGUUGAGAGGAUGUGCAAAAGGAGAUCUGUAUAGAGAUGAGAGGAGUUGGAAAGGAGAUCUAUAUUACGACGAAAGAAGAUGAUAAGAGGAGACGCAAAACGAAAUUUCUCUGACAGCCAAAGGAGGCGG